UUUGAGAGUUUGAUCCUGGCUCAGGAUGAACGUUGGCGGCGCGCCUUAGGCAUGCAAGUCGAGCGAGCAGCGAUGUUGGCACUUAGUGCUUCUUUUGCCCGAUGAUAUGGUAUGGAAGUCUUAUAUGCCAGCAUCAAAGCUAGCGGCGAACGGGUGAGUAACGAGUAGGUUAUCUGCCCUAAAGUUCGGAAUAGCCUCGAGAAAUCGGGGGUAAUGCCGGAGAUGUCGCAAGACCAAAGCAGUUUAUACUGCGCUUUAGGAGGAGCCUGCUUGCUAUCAGCUAGUUGGUGGGGUAAUGGCCUACCAAGGCUAAGACGGCUAGCCGGUCUGAGAGGAUGAUCGGCCACAUAGGGACUGAGACACGGCCCUAACACCUACGGGUGGCAGCAGCCAGGAAUAUUGGACAAUGGGGGAAACCCUGAUCCAGCGACGCCGCGUGGAGGAUGAAGGCCGAAAGGUUGUAAACUCCUUUUGCAUGGGAACAAUGCGAGGGUACCAUGCGAAUAAGCUACUGCUAACUUCGUGCCAGCAGCAGCGGUGAUACGGGGGUAGCAAACGUUAUCCGGAUUUACUGGGCGUAAAGAGAUGCGUAGGCGUUCUGUCCAAGUCAUUCGUUAAAUACUUCGGCUUAACCGAAGGGGUGCGUUUGAUACUGGCGGAAUCGAGGAAACCAGGGGAGAGUAGAAUUUACCGAGUACCGGUGAAAUGGGUUGAUACGGUAAGGAAUACCAAUGGCGAAGGCAACUCUCUGGGGUUCUCCUGACGCUAAGGCUCGAAAGCGUGGGGAUCAAAACGGAUUAGAUACCCGUGUAGUCCACGCCCUAAACGAUCCUUACUAGGCGUUCGGUACGUUAGAAUUGGACUUUGUUCCUUUUCCCCGCGUGCUGAGUGCGAUAGCUAACGCGUUAAGUAAGGCGCCUGGGGAGUACGGCCGCAAGGCUAAAACUCAAAGGAAUUGACGGGGACCCGCACAAGCGGUGGAGCGCCUGGUUUAAUUCGACAAUAAGCGAAGAACCUUACCAAGGCUUGACAUGUAGUAGAAUCCUCUGGAAACAGAGGAGUGCCCGCAAGGGAGCUACUACACAGCUGCUGCAUGGCUGUCGUCAGCUCGUGUCGUGAGAUGUUUGGUUAAGUCCAUCAACGAGCGCAACCCUCACCCAAUGUUACAUAACUUUGGGAACUGCCAUGUUUUACAUGGAGGAAGGUGGGGAUGACGUCUAGUCCGCAUGGCGCUUAUGCCUUGGGCUACACAGACGCUACAAUGGCCGGUACAAUGGGUUGCUAAGUCGCGAGACGGAGCUAAUCCCAAAAAACCGGUCCCAGUUCGGAUUGGAGGCUGCAACUCGCCUCCAUGAAGCCGGAAUCGCUAGUAAACGCGUUUCAGCAUUGCGCGUUGAAUACGUUCUCGGGUCUUGUACACACCGCCUGUCAAGUUAUGGGAGUCGGGAAUACCCGAACAGUCAUCGGUUUUGAUUGGAAGGUAGGCUCGACGACUGUAAUUAAGUCAUAACAAGGUAGCCGUAGGGGAAUCUGCGGCUGAAUCACCUCCUU
This 1551-nucleotide ribosomal RNA is filed under the name Candidatus Dojkabacteria bacterium. RNAcentral describes it as "bacterial SSU rRNA". It matches the Rfam family "Bacterial small subunit ribosomal RNA". The record is from RNAcentral.